AAUGAACGCUGGCGGCGUGCUUAACACAUGCAAGUCGUGCGCGAAGGCGGCUUCGGCUGCCGGAGAGCGGCGAACGGGUGAGUAACACGUGGGUAAUCUACCUGGGAGUGGGGGAUAACCUGGGGAAACUCGGGCUAAGACCGCAUACGAUGCUGGGACUUCGGUCCUGUUCUGAAAGCUGGCCUCUGCUUGCAAGCUAGCGCUCCCAGAGGACGCCCGCGGCUGAUUAGCUGGUUGGUGGGGUAAUGGCCUACCAAGGCGACGAUCAGUAGCCGGCCUGAGAGGGUGAUCGGCCACACUGGAACUGAGACACGGUCCAGACUCCUACGGGAGGCAGCAGGUGGGGAAUAUUGGACAAUGGGCGCAAGCCUGAUCCAGCAACGCCGCGUGAGUGAAG
Molecule: ribosomal RNA, 397 nt
Filed under: uncultured bacterium
Lineage: Bacteria
Description: bacterial SSU rRNA
Rfam family: Bacterial small subunit ribosomal RNA
Source: RNAcentral